GAUGAACGCUGGCGGCGUGCCUAAUACAUGCAAGUCGAGCGAACGGACGAGAAGGGGGCUUCUCUGAUGUUAGCGGCGGACGGGUGAGUAACAUGUGGAGAACCUACCUAUAAGACUGGGAUAACUUCGGGAAACCGGAGCUAAUACCGGAUAAUAUUGGGAACCGCAUGGUUCAAAAGUGAUAGACGGUCUUGCGGUCGAUUAGAGAUGGAUCCGCGCUUCAUUAGCUAGUUGGCAAGGUAACGGCUUAACAAGGCAACGAUGCAUAGCCGACCUGAGAGGGGGAUCGGGCCUGCUGGAGCUGAGGCCCGCUCCAGACCUCUGAGGGAGGCCGAAGUAGGGCAUGUUCCGGAAUGGGCGAAUGCCUGACGGAGCAACGCCGCGUGAGUGAUGAACGUCUUCGGAUCGUAAAACUCUGUUAUUUGGGAAGCACAUAUGUAUAAGUACCUGUCCACAUCUUGACGGUACCAAAUCAGAAAGCCCCGGCUAACUACGUG
Molecule: ribosomal RNA, 497 nt
Filed under: uncultured bacterium
Lineage: Bacteria
Description: partial 16S ribosomal RNA
Rfam family: Bacterial small subunit ribosomal RNA
Source: RNAcentral